CAGAAAAAUCAUCUUUGCUGGAUACUGCUGAAAGCAAGAUAGCUGAACUCACAGAGAAGGUUGUUGAACAACAGAAGUUGAUUCAGAAGUUGGAAGAAGACAUAUUAAAGGGGUAUAACUCCAAGGACCAAAAGAGCAAUUUAUUUGAUGAGUGGGAUCUUUCGGAGACAAGGGGUGAGCUUUCUGAGAAUGUAGAUCGAAAACAUUUCCCCUUGGAUCAAGAUCAAAGUUCAAUGCUAAAAGUAAUUUGUAGUCAGAGGGACCGUUUUAGAGCACGCUUGCGAGAGGCAGAAGAGGAAAUUAGACAAUUGAAGGAGAAGAUAGG
Molecule: unclassified non-coding RNA, 325 nt
Filed under: Hevea brasiliensis (rubber tree)
Lineage: Eukaryota; Viridiplantae; Streptophyta; Magnoliopsida; Malpighiales; Euphorbiaceae
Source: RNAcentral